CCAGCCCCCGCACCCCGGGCCGGGAGAGCCGCCCGCUCCGCGCUCCGCAUCGUCCUCGACGUCCCUUCCGCACGCCGUGCCCAGCGCAGCCGGCGCGUCCCGGGCUCCCUUGGGGUCCGCUCGGCUCAGGGGAGGAGGCUCCCCGAGACUGGACCCAACCUGCGGACUGCGGGACCCAGGAGCAGCUCUCUCCGCGGUCCGCGACACUCAGUCUGGCUGCUGGCGGUUGGCGGUGCACCGAGGGAUUCGAAAGGCUGCCCUGCGGCGGUGCCCGGGGUCGCGGGAGCGGAGAGCGGGCGUGGACGGGGAGGGCAGUGUCGCCGCGCCGGUGGGGCCCGGGCUGCGGGCCUGUCGCGGGUGGGCGCGGUCCAGGCCACUCGGAAGCCGCCGCACCCGGGGGAUGCGUUUCCGCAGCUGCCAAAGGACCCUCACUACCCCCAGUUGAGAGACCCGGUUCAGACCUGCGAGUCACUGGGAUCAUCACUCCUUCCUCUAAAAAACAGACGUGUUUUGGGAUAUUCAGAUGAAAUGACAGCAAAAGAACGAGAAGCAGAAUCUGAACAUUUCAGAUUUGCUUAUCUAUCGAUUUAAAGGGAAAUUGUACGGCAGAAGUUUUAUUCGUGACUAUCUAGUGAAGGACUCGCCUAUUACUGCUAUUCGUUAAAGAUUCCGAGGCUAUUUAUCAAUAAUGUUAUUUAUUUAUUUAUUUAUUUAUUGCAGUACUGGGGAUUGAACCCGGGUCACUCUACUGCUGAACUACAUCCUCAGUCCUAUUUAUUUAUCCUGAAACAGAAUCUUGCUAAAUUGCCAAGGCUGCUGGCCCCGAAUUUAGGAUCCUCCUGCCUCGGCCUUCCGAUAGCUGGGAUUGCAGGCGUGUGUCCCCUGUCUAGUUCAGUACUGCUUUGUAAGGUUUGAGAAAGAUCUUUCUGUAAGGUCCUUUUAUUAAAAUAAAGGUUUAUGCAAACUGUUUCUGCUUAUUGCUGUCUCAUAGAAGAUCAUAUACCAGUAACAAAAACAAAUAUAUAUUUGAAAUUCCAACAUAUUUACAAUAGUGCUUAUUUAUGAUGACAUUUUUCAAACUAUAAAUACCUAUAUUUGUGACUCCAUUGUGG
Molecule: long non-coding RNA, 1112 nt
Filed under: Chinchilla lanigera (long-tailed chinchilla)
Lineage: Eukaryota; Metazoa; Chordata; Mammalia; Rodentia; Chinchillidae
Description: lncRNA (ENSCLAG00000025089.1)
Source: RNAcentral